UAAAGGUACCCGUACCGCAAACCGACACAGGUGGGUGAGGAGAGUAUCCUAAGGCCAGCGAGAGAACUGUUGUUAAGGAACUCGGCAAAAUGACCCCGUAACUUAGGGAUAAGGGGUGCCACCAUCAGGUGGCCGCAGAGAAUAGGCCCAAGCGACUGUUUACCAAAAACAUAGGUUUCUGCUAAGUCGCAAGACGAUGUAUAGGAGCUGACGCCUGCCCGGUGCUGGAAGGUUAAGGGGAUCUGUUAGAGCAAUCGAAGCAGUGAACUUAAGCACCAGUAAACGGCGGCCGUAACUAUAACGGUCCUAAGGUAGCGAAAUUCCUUGUCGGGUAAGUUCCGACCCGCACGAAAGGCGUAACGAUUUGGGCACUGUCUCAACAACAGACUCGGUGAAAUUGUAAUUCCGGUGAAGAUGCCGGAUACCUGCGACAGGACGGAAAGACCCCAUGGAGCUUUACUGUAGCUUGACAUUGGGUCUUGGUACUACAUGUACAGGAUAGGUGGGAGGCUUUGAAACCAGGACGCCAGUUUUUGCGGAGCCAUCCUUGGGAUACCACCCUUGUAGUACUGGGACUCUAACCAUAG
RNAcentral lists this ribosomal RNA (587 nucleotides) under Clostridioides difficile. Its description in RNAcentral is "bacterial LSU rRNA". It matches the Rfam family "Bacterial large subunit ribosomal RNA", at positions 1633 to 2231 of the family's 2925-position model. The record is from RNAcentral. Lineage: Bacteria; Bacillati; Bacillota; Clostridia; Peptostreptococcales; Peptostreptococcaceae.